RNAcentral lists this unclassified non-coding RNA (335 nucleotides) under Hevea brasiliensis (rubber tree). The record is from RNAcentral. Lineage: Eukaryota; Viridiplantae; Streptophyta; Magnoliopsida; Malpighiales; Euphorbiaceae.
GCACGGCCGCGUAUCCAUUUUCACCACACCAGUCGAGAACGGCUGCGAUGUCCUUUUCGUCGCGGGGAUAAGCCACAACAUCCGGCGGAUUUGGAUACUUGCGCUUGUAGAUCAUGGCCAGGUCGCGGAAGCUCUUGCCGUAGGUGUGAGCAACACGAUCCCAUUUUUCCGUCGUGCAGAAGCUUGCAAGCGACGCCGGCGGCUUGAUGCGCGGGGCACGGAUCUCAAUUUCGUCAAGGGUCGGAUCCGGGAGAACUGUGAAAUCGCUCAUGCCGAGGCGCUUCGCAACGCGCUCGUGCAUCGACUUCACUUCAGAUUCAGGAAUGUCCUGGCCU